This 363-nucleotide ribosomal RNA is filed under the name uncultured Alphaproteobacteria bacterium. RNAcentral's name for it is "bacterial SSU rRNA". It matches the Rfam family "Bacterial small subunit ribosomal RNA", at positions 64 to 455 of the family's 1533-position model. The record is from RNAcentral. Lineage: Bacteria; Pseudomonadati; Pseudomonadota; Alphaproteobacteria.
GAACGAGCCCUUCGGGGUUAGUGGCGCACGGGUGCGUAACGCGUGGGAAUCUGCCCUUCGGUUCGGAAUAACUCAGGGAAACUUGAGCUAAUACCGGAUGAUGUCUUCGGACCAAAGAUUUAUCGCCGAGGGAUGAGCCCGCGUAGGAUUAGGUAGUUGGUGGGGUAAUGGCCUACCAAGCCGACGAUCCUUAGCUGGUCUGAGAGGAUGAUCAGCCACACUGGGACUGAGACACGGCCCAGACUCCUACGGGAGGCAGCAGUGGGGAGUAUUGGACAAUGGGCGCAAGCCUGAUCCAGCAAUGCCGCGUGAGUGAUGAAGGCCUUAGGGUUGUAAAGCUCUUUUACCCGGGAUGAUAAUGAC